RNAcentral lists this ribosomal RNA (510 nucleotides) under Carcharodon carcharias (great white shark). Its description in RNAcentral is "partial 16S ribosomal RNA". It matches the Rfam family "Bacterial large subunit ribosomal RNA", at positions 1963 to 2614 of the family's 2925-position model. The record is from RNAcentral. Lineage: Eukaryota; Metazoa; Chordata; Chondrichthyes; Lamniformes; Lamnidae.
AAUCACUUGUCUUUUAAAUGAAGACCCGUAUGAAAGGCAUCACGAGAGUUCAACUGUCUCUAUUUUCUAAUCAAUGAAAUUGAUCUACCCGUGCAGAAGCGAGUAUAACCACAUUAGACGAGAAGACCCUAUGGAGCUUCAAACACAUAAAUUAAUUAUGUAAAUUAACCACUCUACGGAUAUAAACAGAAAUACAAUACUUUUAAUUUAGCUGUUUUUGGUUGGGGUGACCAAGGGGAAAAAUUAAUCCCCCUUAUCGACCGAGUACUCUCAAGUACUUAAAAAUUAGAACCACAAUUCUAAUUAAUAAAACAUUUAUCGAAAAAUGAUCCAGGAAUUCCUGAUCAAUGAACCAAGUUACCCUAGGGAUAACAGCGCAAUCCUUUCUUAGAGUCCCUAUCGACGAAAGGGUUUACGACCUCGAUGUUGGAUCAGGACAUCCUAAUGAUGCAGCCGUUAUUAAGGGUUCGUUUGUUCAACGAUUAACAGUCCUACGUGAUCUGAGUUCAG